This 574-nucleotide long non-coding RNA is filed under the name Monodelphis domestica (gray short-tailed opossum). RNAcentral describes it as "lncRNA (ENSMODG00000049176.1)". The record is from RNAcentral. Lineage: Eukaryota; Metazoa; Chordata; Mammalia; Didelphimorphia; Didelphidae.
CUAGAAUUCCCUUGUGAAGAUAGGAUUAACUCUCUCCUUGUCUAUUUUUAGCUAAUCAAAUCAAGAACUUAAAGUAGGCCUACUUACCAAUAAGUAUGAGAGUUCAUGAGUCACUUAGUAGAAUAAGCUCACACCUUUAAAGGCCACUUGGGUAGUGCUAGGCAACUUGAAAGACUGCCAUUGGUUUCUGUGAAGAAGGAGGAGUGACAGGAAGUGAUAUGGAAAAGAGGAAAAUAAAAGAAGAGACCAGCAUGAUCUAGAGGAUUUUCCUUCCUAGCUUCUGAGGAAACUGGCUCUGGAGAUUCAUUCCCUUCCUGGAAUUUGGACAAUGAAAUGAAGCUCUGAUGCCUAGUGGGUUGUUUUUGUCUCUCUCCUGAAUUAUCUGACUAAGACGAAAGAAAACCUUCACUUGAGCUGGGUAAGAAAUUUGCUGCCUCCUGGAAUCCAGAGACUGAACUACUUGAGGAAGAUGCCAUGGAGAUGACCGAGAAGACCGCACACUGCUCCAGAAAAUCCUGAGCAAACCAGAUGUACAGAAUUUAACAUUGAGGGGUUAAAUUAAUUUGUUUUGUUA